Molecule: ribosomal RNA, 253 nt
Filed under: uncultured bacterium
Lineage: Bacteria
Description: partial 16S ribosomal RNA
Rfam family: Bacterial small subunit ribosomal RNA
Source: RNAcentral
UACGUAGGGUGCGAGCGUUGUCCGGAAUUAUUGGGCGUAAAGGGCUCGUAGGCGGUUUGUCGCGUCGGGAGUGAAAUCCACUGGCUUAACUGGUGGCUUGCUUUCGAUACGGGCAGACUGGAGGUAUGCAGGGGAGAACGGAAUUCCUGGUGUAGCGGUGAAAUGCGUAGAUAUCAGGAGGAACACCGGUGGCGAAGGCGGCUAUCUGGACAGAGUCUGACGCUGAGGAGCGAAAGCGUGGGGAGCGAACAGG